GAUGAACGCUGGCGGCGUGCCUAAUACAUGCAAGUCGAGCGAACAGACGAGGAGCUUGCUCCUCUGACGUUAGCGGCGGACGGGUGAGUAACACGUGGAUAACCUACCUAUAAGACUGGGAUAACUUCGGGAAACCGGAGCUAAUACCGGAUAAUAUAUUGAACCGCAUGGUUCAAUAGUGAAAGACGGUUUUGCUGUCACUUAUAGAUGGAUCCGCGCCGCAUUAGCUAGUUGGUAAGGUAACGGCUUACCAAGGCAACGAUGCGUAGCCGACCUGAGAGGGUGAUCGGCCACACUGGAACUGAGACACGGUCCAGACUACUACGGGAGGCAGCAGUAGGGAAUCUUCCGCAAAGGGCGAAAGCCUGACGGAGCAACGCCGCGGGAGUGAUGAAGGUCUUCGGAUCGUAAAACUCUGUUAUUAGGGAAGAACAAAUGUGUAAGUAACUAUGCACGUCUUGACGGUACCUAAUCAGAAAGCCACGGCUAACUACGUG
RNAcentral lists this ribosomal RNA (497 nucleotides) under uncultured bacterium. Its description in RNAcentral is "partial 16S ribosomal RNA". It matches the Rfam family "Bacterial small subunit ribosomal RNA", at positions 28 to 507 of the family's 1533-position model. The record is from RNAcentral.